AACGAACGCUGGCGGCAUGCCUAACACAUGCAAGUCGAACGAGACCUUCGGGUCUAGUGGCGCACGGGUGCGUAACGCGUGGGAAUCUGCCCUUGGGUUCGGAAUAACUCGCCGAAAGGCGUGCUAAUACCGGAUGAUGACGUAAGUCCAAAGAUUUAUCGCCCAAGGAUGAGCCCGCGUUGGAUUAGCUAGUUGGUGAGGUAAAGGCUCACCAAGGCGACGAUCCAUAGCUGGUCUGAGAGGAUGAUCAGCCACACUGGGACUGAGACACGGCCCAGACUCCUACGGGAGGCAGCAGUGGGGAAUAUUGGACAAUGGGCGAAAGCCUGAUCUAGCAAUGCCGCGUGAGUGAUGAAGGCCUUAGGGUUGUAAAGCUCUUUUACCCGGGAUGAUAAUGACCGUACCGGGAGAAUAAGCUCCGGCUAACUCCGUG
Molecule: ribosomal RNA, 433 nt
Filed under: uncultured bacterium
Lineage: Bacteria
Description: partial 16S ribosomal RNA
Rfam family: Bacterial small subunit ribosomal RNA
Source: RNAcentral